GGACGAACGCUGGCGGCGUGCUUAACACAUGCAAGUCGAACGGAAAGGUCCUGCUUUUGUGGGGUGCUCGAGUGGCGAACGGGUGAGUAACACGUGAGUAACCUGCCCUUGACUUUGGGAUAACUUCAGGAAACUGGGGCUAAUACCGGAUAGGAGCUCCUGCUGCAUGGUGGGGGUUGGAAAGUUUCGGCGGUUGGGGAUGGACUCGCGGCUUAUCAGCUUGUUGGUGGGGUAGUGGCUUACCAAGGCUUUGACGGGUAGCCGGCCUGAGAGGGUGACCGGCCACAUUGGGACUGAGAUACGGCCCAGACUCCUACGGGAGGCAGCAGUGGGGAAUAUUGCACAAUGGGCGGAAGCCUGAUGCAGCAACGCCGCGUGCGGGAUGACGGCCUUCGGGUUGUAAACCGCUUUCGCCUGUGACGAAGCGUGAGUGACGGUAAUGGGUAAAGAAGCACCGGCUAACUACGUG
Molecule: ribosomal RNA, 469 nt
Filed under: uncultured bacterium
Lineage: Bacteria
Description: partial 16S ribosomal RNA
Rfam family: Bacterial small subunit ribosomal RNA
Source: RNAcentral